This 235-nucleotide ribosomal RNA is filed under the name Symbiodinium sp. clade D. RNAcentral describes it as "partial Eukaryotic large subunit ribosomal RNA". It matches the Rfam family "Eukaryotic large subunit ribosomal RNA", at positions 47 to 282 of the family's 3401-position model. Lineage: Eukaryota; Dinophyceae; Suessiales; Symbiodiniaceae. The record is from RNAcentral.
UAAGCGGAGGAAAAGGAACUAAAUAGGAUUCCCUCAGUAAUGGCGAAUGAACAGGGAUGAGCUCAGGCUGGAAACCGAUACAUCUGUGUCGGGCUGUAGCCUGCAGGCAUAGCGCUAUCGGCGGCUCGAGCGCAAGCCUCUUGGAAUAGAGCGUGUGCCCGGGUGAGAAUCCUGCAUUUCGCUCGAUGUCCGCUGUCCACAGUGCUUGUCCUGAGAGUCACGCUCCUCGGAAUUG